GCCGAGGUAACCAAGGUGGUCACGGUGCCUGUCUGAAAAACAGGUUAUGUCAGUUCGACUCUGACCCUCGGCA
RNAcentral lists this transfer RNA (73 nucleotides) under Candidatus Gottesmanbacteria bacterium. RNAcentral describes it as "tRNA-Phe". It matches the Rfam family "tRNA". Rfam says of the family: Transfer RNA (tRNA) molecules are approximately 80 nucleotides in length. Their secondary structure includes four short double-helical elements and three loops (D, anti-codon, and T loops). Lineage: Bacteria; Candidatus Gottesmaniibacteriota. The record is from RNAcentral.